This 1085-nucleotide long non-coding RNA is filed under the name Sinocyclocheilus anshuiensis. RNAcentral describes it as "lncRNA (ENSSANG00000038946.1)". The record is from RNAcentral. Lineage: Eukaryota; Metazoa; Chordata; Actinopteri; Cypriniformes; Cyprinidae.
AACAGUUUAAAGAGCAAGAAAAGUUUAAAAGAAAUUGCAUUGAAUGUUAAUGACACUGUUUUGGUAAAACAGGUCAGGUUUAUUGCUUGAGUGAAAACCCCCUUUGUGGAUUUGAGAUGGCGAGCCACCCAAACUUGAAUUUUGAUUCCUGAACCUGGAAGGAUACAUCUUUGCUGUGACACGUGGACAAUUCGUUGCAUCAAUUAUUCGUUACGUCAACUUUUCUUCAGCUGGGAGGACAUCUCUUUUUUGCAGGACACUUGUUUGAACUGAAACUGGUCCAUUGCUCCAACUUACGUUGAGGUCACUUGUUACACAAGUUAAAAGUGGAACCAACUGGAGUGUUCACAUCCUGAGGUUGGAGGACGUCCUGCUCCAGCUGUUCUUCAGCAGCGGGGAGGACUUCAGAGGCUGUAGAUUCAUGAUGGUCAUGGAUAGGGAUGGGCUGUAGAGAAUUGUGAUUUUUAAAGAGGGGAAUAUUAAUAACAUGAAUUAAACAUGAAUUGAGCUAACAAAACACACCUGGGGAGACUAAUCAAGGGGGAAAACUACAAACUGACUACAAACAUGGCACAGGAAACACUUCAACAUCACUUCAACAAGUCCAGACAUGACACAGGGAACAUAAAACACUUCUGAUGCCUGACACCAAUUUUCUUUUGACCCAGGACCUUUUAGUAGCGGGAAUCUUACAGGAGGUUCUUGAUAGGAAAAACAUAUCAGCAUAACAGGGAUCAAUGAACCAUUUCACAUUUGUGGGGUUUUCAGAAGAGGUCAUAGUUGGAUAAACUUUGAAGAGCACACUUGAAUAAACUUCUUGUCACCCCUAAAACCUUGUAGUGCCUAACUUGCCAUGAAAAAAAAAUAUGUUAAAGAGUUUUAAGCCACCCUGCUGGACUCGCUUGCAUGAAUUAUAGACUUUAUACUUGAGUCAAGCAUGCCAGCCUGAAAAUCUUCCCAUUGAACUUCCCAAGCUGUUCUGUUUGUUGUGAGGCAACUUAUAAAUAGUUCCAAGACAUGAGCCAUUGAGAGCAGGAAUGCAAGACCCUUUCUACCCAUCAGGCCACAGAAGGACCCAGGAAAGC